CACGUAAUAGCUUAAAUUAAAGCAUUAAACUUUUAAUUUAAAGAUAAGUUGUACUUAUAUGUGA
This 64-nucleotide transfer RNA is filed under the name Calantica studeri. RNAcentral describes it as "tRNA-Lys". It matches the Rfam family "tRNA". From Rfam's summary of the family: Transfer RNA (tRNA) molecules are approximately 80 nucleotides in length. Lineage: Eukaryota; Metazoa; Arthropoda; Thecostraca; Calanticomorpha; Calanticidae. The record is from RNAcentral.